GGGGUUGUGGCUCAGAGGUAGAGUGUUCACCUAGCAUGUGUGAGGCAUUGGGUUCGAUUCUCAACACCA
This 69-nucleotide transfer RNA is filed under the name Urocitellus parryii (Arctic ground squirrel). RNAcentral describes it as "Spermophilus parryii (Arctic ground squirrel) tRNA". It matches the Rfam family "tRNA". From Rfam's summary of the family: Transfer RNA (tRNA) molecules are approximately 80 nucleotides in length. Their secondary structure includes four short double-helical elements and three loops (D, anti-codon, and T loops). Further hydrogen bonds mediate the characteristic L-shaped molecular structure. tRNAs have two regions of fundamental functional importance: the anti-codon, which is responsible for specific mRNA codon recognition, and the 3' end, to which the tRNAs corresponding amino acid is attached (by aminoacyl-tRNA synthetases). tRNAs cope with the degeneracy of the genetic code in two manners: having more than one tRNA (with a specific anti-codon) for a particular amino acid; and 'wobble' base-pairing, i.e. permitting non-standard base-pairing at the 3rd anti-codon position. The record is from Rfam by way of RNAcentral. Lineage: Eukaryota; Metazoa; Chordata; Mammalia; Rodentia; Sciuridae. RNAcentral also lists the same sequence under 1 other name.